CCUACGGGGGGCUGCAGUGGGGAAUAUUGGACAAUGGGCGAAAGCCUGAUCCAGCCAUGCCGCGUGUGUGAAGAAGGCCUUCGGGUUGUAAAGCACUUUCAGUGGGGAAGAAAGCCUUGGGGCUAAUACCCUCGAGGAAGGACAUCACCCACAGAAGAAGCACCGGCUAACUCCGUGCCAGCAGCCGCGGUAAUACGGAGGGUGCGAGCGUUAAUCGGAAUUACUGGGCGUAAAGCGCGCGUAGGCGGUCUGAUAAGCCGGUUGUGAAAGCCCCGGGCUCAACCUGGGAACGACAUCCGGAACUGUCAGGCUAGAGUGCAGGAGAGGAAGGUAGAAUUCCCGGUGUAGCGGUGAAAUGCGUAGAGAUCGGGAGGAAUACCAGUGGCGAAGGCGGCCUUCUGGACUGACACUGACGCUGAGGUGCGAAAGCGUGGGUAGCAAACAGGAUUAGAUACCCGUGUAGUC
RNAcentral lists this ribosomal RNA (465 nucleotides) under Vreelandella stevensii. RNAcentral describes it as "partial 16S ribosomal RNA". It matches the Rfam family "Bacterial small subunit ribosomal RNA", at positions 338 to 795 of the family's 1533-position model. Lineage: Bacteria; Pseudomonadati; Pseudomonadota; Gammaproteobacteria; Oceanospirillales; Halomonadaceae. The record is from RNAcentral.